UCAAACUUGGUCAUUUAGAGGAAGUAAAAGUCGUAACAAGGUUUCCGUAGGUGAACCUGCGGAAGGAUCAUUAACACGUCCACACGUAUUAACCCUCGUGAAUCUGUUUCCGCUGGUCCUGAGUUGCUUGGAACUUGACGAAUGCUAUUUACGGUUGGGAAAGAGUGAGAGGCUCAAAGGUUCGCCCUGAGUUCUUUCUGCUCUUUCUAAUAGCGAUCGUCGAUCUUUAUGGGUUCCUAGUGCUCACUCUCAAAGGACCGCUUUAAUCAUGCUCCACCGUCAUGUUCCCUUUUUGAACCCCUUGUACAAUUCUGUACUGAAUCUUUCUUCUUUUGUGUUGUUGUCUUUGAGCUGCGGUUCAAAGAAACGCACGAAGAAAAAAUUACGAAACAAAGAACAACUCUUAGCAACGGAUAUCUUGGUUUCCGCAUCGAUGAAGAACGCAGC
This 447-nucleotide unclassified non-coding RNA is filed under the name uncultured fungus. Its description in RNAcentral is "partial contains small subunit ribosomal RNA, internal transcribed spacer 1, and 5.8S ribosomal RNA". The stretch from base 1 to 73 matches the Rfam family "Eukaryotic small subunit ribosomal RNA", at positions 1759 to 1831 of the family's 1831-position model. Lineage: Eukaryota; Fungi. The record is from RNAcentral.